This 440-nucleotide ribosomal RNA is filed under the name uncultured bacterium. RNAcentral describes it as "partial 16S ribosomal RNA". It matches the Rfam family "Bacterial small subunit ribosomal RNA", at positions 338 to 795 of the family's 1533-position model. The record is from RNAcentral.
CCUACGGGGAGUAGCAGUAGGGAAUAUUGCUCAAUGGGGGAAACCCUGAAGCAGCAACGCCGCGUGGAGGAUGAAGGUUUUAGGAUUGUAAACUCCUUUUGUGAGAGAAGAUAAUGACGGUAUCUAACGAAUAAGCACCGGCUAACUCCGUGCCAGCAGCCGCGGUAAUACGGAGGGUGCAAGCGUUACUCGGAGUCACUGGGCGUAAAGAGUGCGCAGGGGGGCUUGUAAGUCAGAUGUGAAAGCCUGUAGCUUAACUACAGAACUGCAUUUGAAACUAUGAGUCUAGGGUGUGGGAGAGGUAGGUGGAAUUCUUGGUGUAGGGGUAAACUCCGUAGAUAUCAAGAGGAAUACUCAUUGCGAAGGCGACCUACUGGAACAUUACUGACGCUCAUGCACGAAAGCGUGGGGAGCAAACAGGAUUAGAUACCCUUGUAGUC